Molecule: ribosomal RNA, 253 nt
Filed under: uncultured Coprococcus sp.
Lineage: Bacteria; Bacillati; Bacillota; Clostridia; Lachnospirales; Lachnospiraceae
Description: partial 16S ribosomal RNA
Rfam family: Bacterial small subunit ribosomal RNA
Source: RNAcentral
UACGUAGGGGGCAAGCGUUAUCCGGAUUUACUGGGUGUAAAGGGAGCGCAGGCGGCGCGGCAAGUCUGAUGUGAAAGCCCGGGGCUCAACUCCGGGACUGCUUUUGAAACUGUUGAACUAGAUUGCAGGAGAGGUAAGUGGAAUUCCUAGUGUAGCGGUGAAAUGCGUAGAUAUUAGGAGGAACACCAGUGGCGAAGGCGAUUUGCUGGGCCAUUACUGACGCUCAUGCACGAAAGCGUGGGGAGCAAAUAGG